AGUGAACGCUGGCGGUAGGCCUAACACAUGCAAGUCGAACGGCAGCACAGUAAGAGCUUGCUCUUACGGGUGGCGAGUGUCGGACGGGUGAGGAAUACAUCGGAAUCUACUUUUUAGUGGGGGCUAACGUAGGGAAACUUACGCUAAUACCGCAUACGACCUACGUGUGAAAGCAGGGGAUCUUCGGACCUUGCGCGAUUGAAUGAGCCGAUGUCGGAUUCGCUAGUUGGCGGGGUAGAGGCCCACCAAGGCGACGAUCCGUAGCUGGUCUGAGAGGAUGAUCAGCUACACUGGAUCUGAGACACGGUCCAGACUCCUACGGGAGGCAGCAGUGGGGAAUAUUGGACAAGGGGGGCGUGCCUGAUCCAGCCAUACCGCGUGGGGGAAGAAGGCCUUCUGGUUGUAGAGCCCUUUUGUUGGGAAAGAAAAGCAGCAGGUUAAUACCCCGCUGUUCUGACGGUACCCAAAGAAUAAGCACCGGCUAACUUCGUG
Molecule: ribosomal RNA, 492 nt
Filed under: uncultured bacterium
Lineage: Bacteria
Description: partial 16S ribosomal RNA
Rfam family: Bacterial small subunit ribosomal RNA
Source: RNAcentral